GGUUCUUUUAUCGCUGAAUCUAACACAAGGGAGGAGACGUGGAACUGAUUGGUUAGAUGACCGAUUCUUCGUUAUUAAGAGGGAUUCCGAUAUGUCAAAACAAGAUACAGGGGUCAUGAUUGCGAGGUAUCCCGAUGGGCCGAAAGGAGAUAGAGGGGUCAUGAUGUACAUUGCGAGAAAAAUCAAACGGUUGGCCCCUAAUGUGUUCUGGGGGUGAGCUGCAUUUAGUCGACAUAUUGGGCUUUUGUGGUACAGAUUCAUAUUAUAAAUAGAUGAUGUCUGUCCAAUA
Molecule: long non-coding RNA, 289 nt
Organism: Saccostrea cuccullata (small rock oyster)
Lineage: Eukaryota; Metazoa; Mollusca; Bivalvia; Ostreida; Ostreidae
Exons: 4
Source: RefSeq, a predicted model, not a curated record